GAACGGCAGCACGGACUUCGGUCUGGUGGCGAGUGGCGAACGGGUGAGUAAUGUAUCGGAACGUGCCUAGUAGCGGGGGAUAACUACGCGAAAGCGUAGCUAAUACCGCAUACGCCCUACGGGGGAAAGCAGGGGAUCGCAAGACCUUGCACUAUUAGAGCGGCCGAUAUCGGAUUAGCUAGUCGGUGAGGUAACGGCUCACCAAGGCGACGAUCCGUAGCUGGUUUGAGAGGACGACCAGCCACACUGGGACUGAGACACGGCCCAGACUCCUACGGGAGGCAGCAGUGGGGAAUUUUGGACAAUGGGGGAAACCCUGAUCCAGCCAUCCCGCGUGUGCGAUGAAGGCCUUCGGGUUGUAAAGCACUUUUGGCAGGAAAGAAACGUCAUGGGCUAAUACCCCGUGAAACUGACGGUACCUGCAGAAUAAGCACCGGCUAACUACGUGCCAGCAGCCGCGGUAAUACGUAGGGUGCAAGCGUUAAUCGGAAUUACUGGGCGUAAAGCGUGCGCA
RNAcentral lists this ribosomal RNA (514 nucleotides) under uncultured beta proteobacterium. RNAcentral's name for it is "bacterial SSU rRNA". It matches the Rfam family "Bacterial small subunit ribosomal RNA", at positions 64 to 573 of the family's 1533-position model. The record is from RNAcentral. Lineage: Bacteria; Pseudomonadati; Pseudomonadota; Betaproteobacteria.